AUACCAGCUGCAGACAAUCAUUAAUCAGCAAGUUUCUCACCUGAAGAAAUCAAAUCCACUCUUUUGAAGUCUGCAGUUCAGACUUCAGGCCAACAAACUGCUGGAUCAGAACUGAGCAAACACAGAAGUGACAACUGUUGUCAGGAACCAGGCUGGCAGACGUGGAAGCAUCCAACCGUCGAGGGCGGCCGGUGGGAGGAGGCAAGAGAGUCCGCAGCUGUGUCUUUGACAGCUGCAGGAGGAACGACGCAAGCUCUCCGCUCAUGUCUACAUCCCAAUGUGACGUAAGAACACGUUGUGGAGAGGCGGAGCCGACGGUCCAACAGAGAGGUAGGACACGCUGGAGCCCGGCCCAAGAUGGCGGCGAGGAGGCGGGGAUGUCGAGCGAGUGGCGAGGCGGGGCGUGCCGGGAGCGACGCCACAAACGAGAUCAGGUGUGUGGAUCGCGCACCUGAACAUGAUUAACGUAUCUCCUCUCGCUGUAUAAAAAGGGAGAAGGAGGAGAGAACGGGGCUGGUGAAGAUUAGAUAGUACUUUAUUUAUUCCGUCAGGAAAAUUAAAAUU
Molecule: long non-coding RNA, 564 nt
Organism: Nerophis ophidion (straightnose pipefish)
Lineage: Eukaryota; Metazoa; Chordata; Actinopteri; Syngnathiformes; Syngnathidae
Exons: 3
Source: RefSeq, a predicted model, not a curated record